This 254-nucleotide ribosomal RNA is filed under the name uncultured bacterium. Its description in RNAcentral is "partial 16S ribosomal RNA". It matches the Rfam family "Bacterial small subunit ribosomal RNA", at positions 524 to 776 of the family's 1533-position model. The record is from RNAcentral.
UACGUAGGUGGCGAGCGUUGUCCGGAUUUACUGGGCGUAAAGGGCUCGUAGGCGGCCAACUAAGUCAGACGUGAAAUCCCUCGGCUUAACCGGGGAACUGCGUCUGAUACUGGAUGGCUUGAGUUUGGGAGAGGGAUGCGGAAUUCCAGGUGUAGCGGUGAAAUGCGUAGAUAUCUGGAGGAACACCGGUGGCGAAGGCGGCAUCCUGGACCAACACUGACGCUGAGUGAGCGAAAGCCAGGGGAGCAAACGGG